GUGAGGAAUAUUGGUCAAUGGACAAGAGUCUGAACCAGCCAAGUCGCGUGAAGGAAGACGGUUCUAUGAAUUGUAAACUUCUUUUGUGCAGGAAUAAAGUGGGUUACGUGUAACCUUUUGUAUGUACUGUACGAAUAAGGAUCGGCUAACUCCGUGCCAGCAGCCGCGGUAAUACGGAGGAUCCGAGCGUUAUCCGGAUUUAUUGGGUUUAAAGGGUGCGUAGGUGGAUUGAUAAGUCAGCGGUGAAAGUUUGCAGCUUAACUGUAAAAUUGCCGUUGAAACUGUCGGUCUUGAGUGCAAAUGAGGUAGGCGGAAUGUGUUGUGUAGCGGUGAAAUGCUUAGAUAUAACACAGAACUCCGAUUGCGAAGGCAGCUUACUGGGAUGCAACUGACACUGAUGCACGAAAGCGUGGGUAUCAAACAGGAUUAGAUACCCGAGUAGUCC
Molecule: ribosomal RNA, 445 nt
Filed under: uncultured bacterium
Lineage: Bacteria
Description: partial 16S ribosomal RNA
Rfam family: Bacterial small subunit ribosomal RNA
Source: RNAcentral